AUUGAACGCUGGCGGCAUGCCUUACACAUGCAAGUCGAACGGUAACAGGUUAAGCUGCCGAGUGGCGAACGGGUGAGUAAUGUAUCGGGACGUGCCCAGUCGUGGGGGAUAACUGCCCGAAAGAGCAGCUAAUCCCGCAUACGACCUCAGGUUGACAGCGGGGGAUCGCAAUACCUCGCGCGGUUGGAGCCGCCGGUAUCAGAUUAGGUAGUUGGCGAGGGAAAGGCCAACCAAGCCGACGAUCUGUAGCCGGCCUGAGCGGCGGACGAGCCACACCGGGACUGAGACACGGCCCAGACUCCGACGGGAGGCAGCAGUGGGGAAUGUGGGACAAUGAGCGCAAGCCUGAUCCAGCCAUGCCGCGUGCGGGAAGAAGGCCUUCGGGUUGUAAACCGCUUUUGUCAGGGAAGAAAAGGUUCUGGCUAAUACCGGAGACUCAUGACGGUACCUGAAGAAUAAGCACCGGCUAACUACGUG
This 477-nucleotide ribosomal RNA is filed under the name uncultured bacterium. RNAcentral describes it as "partial 16S ribosomal RNA". It matches the Rfam family "Bacterial small subunit ribosomal RNA", at positions 29 to 507 of the family's 1533-position model. The record is from RNAcentral.